AUUGAACGCUGGCGGAAUGCUUUACACAUGCAAGUCGAACGGCAGCACGGACUUCGGUCUGGUGGCGAGUGGCGAACGGGUGAGUAAUACAUCGGAACGUGCCCAGUCGUGGGGGAUAACGUAGCGAAAGCUACGCUAAUACCGCAUACGAUCUACGGAUGAAAGCGGGGGAUCGCAAGACCUCGCGCGAUUGGAGCGGCCGAUGGCAGAUUAGGUAGUUGGUGGGGUAAAGGCUCACCAAGCCGACGAUCUGUAGCUGGUCUGAGAGGACGACCAGCCACACUGGGACUGAGACACGGCCCAGACUCCUACGGGAGGCAGCAGUGGGGAAUUUUGGACAAUGGGCGCAAGCCUGAUCCAGCCAUUCCGCGUGCAGGAUGAAGGCCCUCGGGUUGUAAACUGCUUUUGUACAGAACGAAAAGGCUCUGGUUAAUACCUGGGGCUCAUGACGGUACUGUAAGAAUAAGCACCGGCUAACUACGUGCCAGCCGCCGCCGUAA
This 500-nucleotide ribosomal RNA is filed under the name uncultured bacterium. Its description in RNAcentral is "partial 16S ribosomal RNA". It matches the Rfam family "Bacterial small subunit ribosomal RNA", at positions 30 to 523 of the family's 1533-position model. The record is from RNAcentral.